AUUUAAUGUAUAAAUAUAUUUACAAAUAUUAAAUUAAUAAUACUAAAUAUAUCUCAACAAAUAAAAAUCUAUCAUUCAAAGAAAUCUAAAAUUAAUAAUAAAAAUCCAUAAAAAUUUAAGGAUUUAGCUUCUUCUUCUUUUUGGAAUUUUUUCUUUGAUAAUCUUUAUUAUAUUUAAGUUUUUAUUAGAUUUUAAAUGUGAAAAAAUAUAUAUUUUUUAAAAAGGAAGGAAGGCUUGGGCCUUGGAAGGUUCUUCACAGUUUUUCUUUUCCUGUUGGAAAUCCCGUUUGGGCAUAUCCGCCCAAGUCCAUUAACAAAUCAGCCCAAUUCUGGGACAUUUGGAGGAGACCACCUGUCUCAACUAAAGCUUUUUAUCUUCUCUUUCACGACAAAACCAUCUCCCUUAAGAAAUAUUGCCUCCAUUUCAACGCCGUCACCGCUGUCGGAAUCUCGAUCGGUUACCGUCGAUUCGCUAUCCUUAACUGCCCGACCUCUGCGGAACCGCAACAGGACCUCCUGAACGUGAGGGAGACUACCGCUGCCCAAUAAAGAUGAGUUUUUUUUUCUCUGCCUUUUUUCGAUUUAACUGAACGGGUUGUGGAUGGUGAAGUUGAAGUGGCCGAAUGGUUGCUGGAGGCUUGUGGGAGAGGAUUUAAGUUUGGUUUAGGGGUUAGUUGAGAGUUGAUAGUGGUGAAGAUAGUGAUAUAUGGAGGUGGGAGCCUUGGUUGUUCGGGGAUGAAGUUGGGUUAGUGAGGUGCCAAGGGCGGUUUGGUGGGUUAAGGGUGUAGUCGGAUGGUUUUGAAUCUUGAGGGAAGCUGAAAAAGAAUGCUUUUCUUGCUCUGAAUUCAUAAAAAUGCAGCAAACCUCUUUUUGCUUGAUUUUCGGAUGCUGCUAUAUAGGAGCUAGGAGAGAAGGAGCAUGAGCUCCUCAUAGAGCUGCGGUGGCAUGGCUGUGCUGGCCUUGUGCGGAAUGGUGCCGAGGAAUGUACUUCACUUCUGUAGGCGGUUGUUGCCAUUUCCUUGUGCAGGUAAACAUUUUGGAGGAGACCACCUGUCUCAACAGUUGUGUGAAAUUUGGGAUGUAAUUGUAAACCUUGUAAAGUUUUGGGUUUUAUUGCAAAUUUUCAAUUCUUGAUUUUUUAUAUUUUUGUUAAAAAACAUUUAUAAUGAAAUACUUUAU
RNAcentral lists this long non-coding RNA (1178 nucleotides) under Gossypium raimondii (Peruvian cotton). RNAcentral's name for it is "long non-coding RNA (GRAI_LNC008416)". Lineage: Eukaryota; Viridiplantae; Streptophyta; Magnoliopsida; Malvales; Malvaceae. The record is from RNAcentral.